RNAcentral lists this ribosomal RNA (157 nucleotides) under uncultured bacterium. Its description in RNAcentral is "partial 16S ribosomal RNA". It matches the Rfam family "Bacterial small subunit ribosomal RNA", at positions 527 to 683 of the family's 1533-position model. The record is from RNAcentral.
GAAGGGACCUAGCGUAGUUCGGAAUUACUGGGCUUAAAGAGCUCGUAGGUGGUUAGAAAAGUUGGUGGUGAAAUCCCAAGGCUUAACCUUGGAACUGCCACCAAAACUUUUUGACUAGAGUUAGAUAGAGGAAAGUGGAAUUUCUAGUGUGAAGGUG